This 274-nucleotide ribosomal RNA is filed under the name uncultured bacterium. RNAcentral's name for it is "partial 16S ribosomal RNA". It matches the Rfam family "Bacterial small subunit ribosomal RNA", at positions 523 to 796 of the family's 1533-position model. The record is from RNAcentral.
AUACGGAGGGUGCGAGCGUUAAUCGGAAUUACUGGGCGUAAAGCGUACGUAGGCGGUUGGUUAAGUUAGAUGUGAAAGCCCCGGGCUUAACCUGGGAACUGCAUUUAAAACUGGCGAACUAGAGUUGAGUAGAGGGGAGUGGAAUUUCAGGUGUAGCGGUGAAAUGCGUAGAGAUAUGAAGGAACACCAGUGGCGAAGGCGACUCCCUGGACUCGAACUGACGCUGAGGUACGAAAGCGUGGGUAGCAAACGGGAGUAGAAACCCGAGUAGUCC